AUGCACGCUGGCGGCGUGCCUAAUACAUGCAAGUCGAGUGAACAGAUGAGGAGCUUGCUCCUCUGACGUUAGCGGCGGACGGGUGAGUAACACGUGGAUAACCUACCUAUAAGACUGGGAUAACUUCGGGAAACCGGAGCUAAUACCGGAUAAUAUAUUGAACCGCAUGGUUCAAUAGUGAAAGACGGUUUUGCUGUCACUUAUAGAUGGAUCCGCGCCGCAUUAGCUAGUUGGUAAGGUAACGGCUUACCAAGGCAACGAUGCGUAGCCGACCUGAGAGGGUGAUCGGCCACACUGGAACUGAGACACGGUCCAGACUCCUACGGGAGGCAGCAGUAGGGAAUCUUCCGCAAUGGGCGAAAGCCUGACGGAGCAACGCCGCGUGAGUGAUGAAGGUCUUCGGAUCGUAAAACUCUGUUAUUAGGGAAGAACAAAUGUGUAAGUAACUAUGCACGUCUUGACGGUACCUAAUCAGAAAGCCACGGCUAACUACGUG
Molecule: ribosomal RNA, 496 nt
Filed under: uncultured bacterium
Lineage: Bacteria
Description: partial 16S ribosomal RNA
Rfam family: Bacterial small subunit ribosomal RNA
Source: RNAcentral